AUACAUGCAGUCAUUAGCCCUUCUCAUAUUAGUUUAGAGUUAUAUUUAGUGUCAUUCUUUUGAUACUACCAAAUUACAUAAUAGUGUAUUAUAACGCCAAUUAGCUUAUAGCAACAUAAUGUCAACAUCAUUGUGUCUCCGAGGGACCAUUUGAAAAAGAAACCAGUUGAUCAUGUGUGUUUCCAAAGCACAGAAACUCUUGGGCACCACAGCAGUCCUUUUUCACGUGUAUGGCAUAUUAUGUGAUUGACUAUUUUAGUAAGAAGAUGUUAUAUAUGAUUUAACUGAGAAAAGGUUUGUUUUUUCUAAUUACUUCUAAAUCAAGAAAAAAUUUUUUUCAAUCACUGAGUACUAAAAUCAUUUUUGCUUCAAUGUACAGCCCUGGCUUAACAACCACGUUCAUCUUUCAUUCUCACCUCACAAGCAAUGGUUGUACUAAUUCAUUUAAAUUAAAAUGUUUUUUUUAAAUCUUUCAGAUCAUAUGCAAUAUACAUUAGACAUCCUUUUCUGAUAGAUAGUUAUGUGCUAGCAAUUUUUAUAUAUCAUACCAACUCUCUAGAGUAAUCUGGACUGUAAUUUUAAAUUAUAUCAUCAUUCUACCAAAACAUACACAAUUUGACAAACCAAAUUAUUAAAACACACAACAUUAAAUGCUAGUAUCAUUCAUCAGUUAUUGCAUGCAGGAUAAAUUAGAAGUGACAAUGGAGAUACAGUUUCAGUAAAUUGGGUAAAAUAUUAUGUUUCAAUAAGAAUGCCUAUUUUAAAAAGCAGUGAAAUGAGAGCGAUGAAAUACUACAGGUAGCUUCAGCAACACAUCACGGAGAGGCAGUGUAAUUUUCACAUUCAAUCUGACUGUUUCCAUAUUCAGUCUGCUAAUAUUGUGUACAUGCUCAAGGAAACGAUAGUAUUAGACAAUGUUUCAUCCAUAAUACACUUCCAAUAAAAAGUGGAAUUUACUCCUUAUUUAGUCUCAUUAGUUUUAGAGCAGUAAAACUCAAAAAAUUUUCCUGUGGAAAGAGUGUUGUACGUUUUUAAUGGUAUGUCAAAUGACAAUUUUUAGGAAUAUUUCAUCACAUGUAAAGUUAUAAUUUUAAUCUGUGAGCCUAAUUUUGUAAAAUCACCUUAAGUCAAGUCUAUAAAUAUUGCAUCAUAAUGGAAUCAAAGAUAUAACAAUGUCCAUGAUAUAAAUGUGUCACCCUUUUUAGGAAACAUGUAUUUUUAAUUUUAGGAAAAUAUUAAAUGCAAUGCCUUUAUCCAACAUUGUGACUUAGAAAUUCUAUAGAGGAUAUAAAUAUUUUCAUUAUUCAUUCUCUUUUGUUUCUAGUUUGCACUAUAAUUUGUCCUCAGAUGCUCUGAAAUGUUGAAUUCCUUUUGCUUUUCCAUGAAAUGGAAGAAAAAUAUUCCUAGCAGUACUUGACAUAUAGGCUCUCAGAAGUAGGCAUUGAUAUUACUGUAGAAUCUUGCAGAGUUGUGUAUGGAGUUCGGUUGAUCAAACUGAAUGUGAUGAAUGUUUGCCAAGUUAAAUAAGGAACUUAUGGUAUUGAAAGAUAAUGAGAUUGUUUUUGUCAUUAUUUUUAAUUUUAUCCUUCACAACAAUGUGUAGCAUAAAUACCCACAGAACUACAAAACCUUUAAUAUUGGUACACUCAAUGAUUUUGCGGGAAUCAUAUUUUCUCAUACUGGCAAUUUUGUGUGUGUGUUCUUAAUCCUUCCUCAAGUCUAAUUUUGUAGUGGUAAAGGCUUUGCAUUAACAUCCUUUUUAUGUUCCUUUUUUAAACAAGGAAUACCAGAAAAUUGCUAAAUUCAAUAUUUUUUACACCCUGAAGUAGUAAAGUUAUUUUGUAUAUUGUUAGUACUUCAAGAAAUAUCCCCCUGAGAAGUUGGACAAAACCCUUAUGCAGUCAUCUGUGAAACUGUUCAGUAGAGAAUAUUUUCUGCAAACACUUGGCUUAGAUUUUAGAUCUUAGCAUUCUGUCAGAAUGCUGGUAGCUGUGUGCCGCCAGAGUAUAGCAGGCAAUAAUAUGACUUUGAUUCUAAUACUUUUAGUGUGCAUGCAUGUGUUUCUAAUCACUGUUAUUUUUCAAGUAUUUGUAAAAUUAGAAAAAAAAAUCUUUUCUGGAAAACUCGUCCGAUGCUUAGUUUGAAGUUUUUCUCCCCAGAUGUUUUUUGAGGAGUGUGAAAAUACUGCAUUCUGGAUGCAGAAAAUAUUACAUUUUCACAUGCAACUUAAAAAAUUCUGGAAGAUAGAACUCUCACUUCCCAAACAUCUGUAUGUCCUUGAGCUGAAUGUGAGCAGCGAGCUUCAGUUCUGUGGACAUGUCUGAUACAAUUAUCUGUGAGUGAAAACAGGGUAUUCUAACACAUGAGUUUCAGUCUUAAUUGCAGUGUUGUUACUGUGAAUGCUAUAAUCAUACAUAAGUAAAAUGUGUGUAAAUGUAAUAUAUUAUUUUAUACUGCUGUAUACAUACAAAAUAAAUAAAACUAGGAUACAUAUCACACC
This 2500-nucleotide long non-coding RNA is filed under the name Mus musculus (house mouse). RNAcentral describes it as "long non-coding RNA chr3:45421211-45423711". The record is from RNAcentral. Lineage: Eukaryota; Metazoa; Chordata; Mammalia; Rodentia; Muridae.